AUUUAAGUAGUUUUAUUUAAAAUAAAGAAUUGUGGUCUCUUAGAAACUAAUUAGUCUUAAAUC
RNAcentral lists this transfer RNA (63 nucleotides) under Jacobiasca formosana. RNAcentral's name for it is "tRNA-His". The record is from RNAcentral. Lineage: Eukaryota; Metazoa; Arthropoda; Insecta; Hemiptera; Cicadellidae.